CUUAAAGUUGCUAAGGUUGAAGUCCCUUGCACUAGGGGAUAGGUCAAAAAAAAGCCAGGUCCCCUCUUUGAGCUAAAGACACAGAGUGAUUCUUCAGGCUUCAUCUGAUGACUGAAUCUUCUCUCACUACUCUAAGCAAGUUCAGCGUGCUAGAAAAGAUGUUUAACCAGCAACUUAUCAGUUUUGGAGGCCAAAUAAAACUCCUUGCAAGCAAAGCAAGCGUAUACAGCCACUCAACGGAGCUGCCAAAUAGGGGGUGUCCUUCUGAGAGAAGUCGAUUACUGUCUUAUCAGAAAUUCAAGAAAUUGUAGUUGGAAUUGUAGAUCUGGCAUCGUCAAUGGCCCACCCACUGUCACAAUCCAUUGGGAGCGGAAGCAAUGUCUGGUUUUGCUGCAUGGAAAUGCAAAAGGAAGAGAUUUGAAACCUGAUAGAUCACAGGACAAAGCUGGGCGACACUCAGUUCAGUAGGGUGUUAAAUUGUGCAGAGGUAACAUCAUGCUUCCCUAAAUGUUGAAUGUUAGCAAUAGUGUGGGGUUGUUGUUUCCCCCCCCCUGAAAAACCAGUAAAUAGAGUCUUUGGGAAGUAGAA
Molecule: long non-coding RNA, 588 nt
Organism: Pantherophis guttatus
Lineage: Eukaryota; Metazoa; Chordata; Lepidosauria; Squamata; Colubridae
Source: RefSeq, a predicted model, not a curated record